This 208-nucleotide ribosomal RNA is filed under the name Phytophthora infestans T30-4. RNAcentral's name for it is "18S ribosomal RNA". It matches the Rfam family "Eukaryotic small subunit ribosomal RNA", at positions 1 to 207 of the family's 1831-position model. The record is from RNAcentral. Lineage: Eukaryota; Oomycota; Peronosporomycetes; Peronosporales; Peronosporaceae.
ACCUGGUUGAUCCUGCCAGUAGUCAUACGCUUGUCUCAAAGAUUAAGCCAUGCAUGUCUAAGUAUAAACAAUUUUGUACUGUGAAACUGCGAAUGGCUCAUUAUAUCAGUUAUAGUCUACUCGAUAGUACCUUACUACUGGAUACCCGUAGUAAUUCUAGAGCUAAUACAUGCCUAAAGACCCAACUGCUUGUCGUGCGGGUAGCAUU